CUCUCUUAAACCAAGUGAUACCUCAAGCCUACUUGUCUAUUUUUCUCUCCACAACUUCUCUUCCAAGUUAAACACACCCCGAAAGUUUGCAGACUUUUUGAAUAGGCUGUCAUAGGGUGGUCAAGACUGCUGUUGGUGGCUGUUUGGAGGAAGGUUCGAGUGUAGUGUUUUGAUCAUGAAAUAAUUGGAGCUUGUUUUGGGAGUUCUUUUAAUAGUUUUUGUUUCUGCAAUGGUGGCUUAGAGGUUUAAUGGCAGGUCACUUGGCCCAUUUACUCUAGAUUUAAUUCUAGUUUUAAGUUUGUUUCUGGUGGCCUGUGCUAUUGUAUUGGUUUUGAAUGCUACUGGUUGUAUUGGCAUGUCUUAUGCCGUUUUUCCUUAAGCUCAAUAAAUUCUUUAGCCUUUUCCAAUA
Long non-coding RNA from Lathyrus oleraceus (garden pea), 409 nucleotides. RefSeq lists it as uncharacterized. The transcript has 2 exons. The record is from RefSeq and is a predicted model, not a curated record. Lineage: Eukaryota; Viridiplantae; Streptophyta; Magnoliopsida; Fabales; Fabaceae.